This 424-nucleotide ribosomal RNA is filed under the name uncultured bacterium. Its description in RNAcentral is "partial 16S ribosomal RNA". It matches the Rfam family "Bacterial small subunit ribosomal RNA", at positions 207 to 622 of the family's 1533-position model. The record is from RNAcentral.
CAAGACCUUGCGCUUUUGGAGCGGCCGAUGUCUGAUUAGCUAGUUGGUGAGGUAAAGGCUUACCAAGGCGUCGAUCAGUAGCUGGUCUGAGAGNANGACCAGCCACACUGGGACUGAGACACGGCCCAGACUCNUACGGGAGGCAGCAGUGGGNAAUUUUGGACAAUGGGGNAAACCCUGAUCCAGCCAUNCCGCGUGAGUGAAGAAGGCCNUCGGGUUGUAAAGCUCUUUCAGCCGGAANGANACGGUCNCGGUUAAUACCCGUGANUANUGNCGGUNCCGGAAGAANAAGCACCGGCUAANUACGUGCCAGCAGCCGCGGUAAUANGUAGGGUGCAAGCGUUAAUCGGAAUUANUGGGCGUAAAGCGUGCGCAGUCGGUUUUGUAAGUCANAUGUGAAAUCCCNGGGCUUAACCUGGGAAUU